AACGAACGCUGGCGGCAGGCUUAACACAUGCAAGUCGAGCGAGACCUUCGGGUCUAGCGGCGGACGGGUGAGUAACACGUGGGAACGUGCCCUUCUCUACGGAAUAGCCCCGGGAAACUGGGAGUAAUACCGUAUACGCCCUUUGGGGGAAAGAUUUAUCGGAGAAGGAUCGGCCCGCGUUGGAUUAGGUAGUUGGUGGGGUAAUGGCCCACCAAGCCGACGAUCCAUAGCUGGUUUGAGAGGAUGAUCAGCCACACUGGGACUGAGACACGGCCCAGACUCCUACGGGAGGCAGCAGUGGGGAAUCUUAGACAAUGGGGGCAACCCUGAUCUAGCCAUGCCGCGUGAGUGAUGAAGGCCUUAGGGUUGUAAAGCUCUUUCAGCUGGGAAGAUAAUGACGGUACCAGCAGAAGAAGCCCCGGCUAACUCCGUG
This 433-nucleotide ribosomal RNA is filed under the name uncultured bacterium. Its description in RNAcentral is "partial 16S ribosomal RNA". It matches the Rfam family "Bacterial small subunit ribosomal RNA", at positions 29 to 507 of the family's 1533-position model. The record is from RNAcentral.